CAGCCGCCGCGGUAACACGUAGGGGGCGAGCGUUGUCCGGAUUUAUUGGGCGUAAAGAGCUCGUAGGUGGCUCGGUAAGUCGGGUGUGAAAUUUCGAGGCUCAACCUCGAGACGCCACCUGAUACUGCUGUGGCUUGAGUCCGGUAGGGGAGCGUGGAAUUCCUGGUGUAGCGGUGAAAUGCGCAGAUAUCAGGAGGAACACCAGCGGCGAAGGCGGCGCUCUGGGCCGGUACUGACACUGAGGAGCGAAAGCGUGGGGAUCAAACAGGAUUAGAUACCCUGGUAGUCCACGCCGUAAACGUUGGGCACUAGGUGUGGGGUUCUAUCAACGGACUCCGUGCCGAAGCUAACGCAUUAAGUGCCCCGCCUGGGGAGUACGGCCGCAAGGCUAAAACUCAAAGGAAUUGACGGGGGCCCGCACAAGCGGCGGAGCAUGUUGCUUAAUUCGAGGCAACGCGAAGAACCUUACCUGGGUUUGACAUGUAGGGAAAAGCCAUAGAGAUAUGGUGUCCUUUUGGGCCCUACACAGGUGGUGCAUGGCC
RNAcentral lists this ribosomal RNA (542 nucleotides) under uncultured archaeon. RNAcentral describes it as "bacterial SSU rRNA". It matches the Rfam family "Bacterial small subunit ribosomal RNA", at positions 509 to 1050 of the family's 1533-position model. The record is from RNAcentral.